Molecule: Y RNA, 102 nt
Filed under: Prolemur simus (greater bamboo lemur)
Lineage: Eukaryota; Metazoa; Chordata; Mammalia; Primates; Lemuridae
Description: Y RNA (ENSPSMG00000019428.1)
Rfam family: Y RNA
About the family: Y RNAs are components of the Ro ribonucleoprotein particle (Ro RNP), in association with Ro60 and La proteins. The Y RNAs and Ro60 and La proteins are well conserved, but the function of the Ro RNP is not known.
Source: Rfam by way of RNAcentral
GGUUGGUCCGUGUGCGGUGAUGUUUGAGACUAAUUGAUCACAACCAGUUACAGAUUCCUUUGUUCCUUCUCCACUCCCACUGCUUCACUUGACCAGCCCUUA